Molecule: transfer RNA, 73 nt
Filed under: Nephila pilipes (giant wood spider)
Lineage: Eukaryota; Metazoa; Arthropoda; Arachnida; Araneae; Nephilidae
Rfam family: tRNA
About the family: Transfer RNA (tRNA) molecules are approximately 80 nucleotides in length. Their secondary structure includes four short double-helical elements and three loops (D, anti-codon, and T loops).
Source: Rfam by way of RNAcentral
GCCCGGCUAGCUCAGUCGGUAGAGCACGAGACUCUUAAUCUUGGGGUCGUGGGUUCCAGCCCCACGUUUGUCG